Molecule: unclassified non-coding RNA, 192 nt
Filed under: uncultured soil eukaryote
Lineage: Eukaryota
Description: sequence contains 5.8S rRNA gene, ITS2, 28S rRNA gene
Source: RNAcentral
AACGCAGGCCGCACUUUGCAGUAUCACUCUGUGUUACUGCAAGGUAUUUACGUAUGAGUGUCAGCCUAAUAUCCUUUUGGUUCAUGAGGGGAAUCCAUUUCAACUCAUGAAUACACAAAUGUCAAGAGACAUAUCUCUGGAAACAUUUUGUGUGUCUGGCCUCAUAUGUGAAAGGUUACCCGCUGGAUUUAA